Molecule: transfer RNA, 70 nt
Filed under: Cavia porcellus (domestic guinea pig)
Lineage: Eukaryota; Metazoa; Chordata; Mammalia; Rodentia; Caviidae
Rfam family: tRNA
About the family: Transfer RNA (tRNA) molecules are approximately 80 nucleotides in length. Their secondary structure includes four short double-helical elements and three loops (D, anti-codon, and T loops). Further hydrogen bonds mediate the characteristic L-shaped molecular structure. tRNAs have two regions of fundamental functional importance: the anti-codon, which is responsible for specific mRNA codon recognition, and the 3' end, to which the tRNAs corresponding amino acid is attached (by aminoacyl-tRNA synthetases). tRNAs cope with the degeneracy of the genetic code in two manners: having more than one tRNA (with a specific anti-codon) for a particular amino acid; and 'wobble' base-pairing, i.e. permitting non-standard base-pairing at the 3rd anti-codon position.
Source: Rfam by way of RNAcentral
GGGGAUAUAGCUCAGUGGCAUAAGUGCCUGCCUGGAAAGCUGAAGGUCCUGGGUUCGAGUCCAGGUACCA